GAUGAACGCUGGCGGCGUGCCUAAUACAUGCAAGUCGAGCGAACAGAUGAGGAGCUUGCUCCUCUGACGUUAGCGGCGGACGGGUGAGUAACACGUGGAUAAACUAUCUAUAAGACUGGGAUAACUUCGGGAAACAGGAGCUAAUACCGGAUAAUAUAUUGAACCGCAUGGUUCAAUAGUGAAAGAAGGUUUUGCUGUCACUUAUAGUUGGACCCGAGCCGCAUUAGCUAGUUGGUAAGGUAACGGCUUACCAAGGCAACGAUGCGUAGCCGACCUGAGAGGGUGAUCGGCCACACUGGAACGGGAACACGGUCCAGACUCCUACGGGAGGCAGCAGUAGGGAAUCUUCCGCAAGGGGCGAAGGCCUGACGGAGCAACGCCGGGUGAGGGAUGAAGGUCUUCGGAUCUUAAAACUCUGUUAUUAGGGAAGAACAAAUGUGUAAGUAACUAUGCACGUCUUGACGGUACCUAAUCAGAAAGCCACGGCUAACUACGUG
This 497-nucleotide ribosomal RNA is filed under the name uncultured bacterium. Its description in RNAcentral is "partial 16S ribosomal RNA". It matches the Rfam family "Bacterial small subunit ribosomal RNA", at positions 28 to 507 of the family's 1533-position model. The record is from RNAcentral.